This 202-nucleotide ribosomal RNA is filed under the name Candidatus Peregrinibacteria bacterium. RNAcentral describes it as "partial 16S ribosomal RNA". It matches the Rfam family "Bacterial small subunit ribosomal RNA", at positions 1330 to 1533 of the family's 1533-position model. Lineage: Bacteria; Candidatus Peregrinibacteriota. The record is from RNAcentral.
AAUCGCUAGUAACCGCGCAUCAGCUAUGGCGCGGUGAAUAUGUUCCUGGACUUUGUACUCACCGCCCGUCAAGCUAUGAAAGGUAGGGGCGCCUAAAGUCCCUGGUUUACCGGGGCCUAGGGUGACACUACUGAUUGGAGCUAAGUCGUAACAAGGUAUCCGUAGGAGAACCUGCGGAUGGAUCACCUCCUUUCUAAGGAGU